GUAACUUCUGCUGUGCAGAUUGAAGAAGAAGAACUCAAUGAGACAGUCAUUUGCACUAAAGAUCAGAUGCAAGUUAUCAUUCCCAGUGUGUUUUUUCUGAACAAGGAGCCACCUGUUUCGGUUUGGGAUUUGCACUUGAACGAUCCUGACUGUCGAGGUGUUGAGGUUGGGAACGACUAUGUCUUCAGCAUCAAGACCAACCUCACAGACUGCGGCACCAUUAUGGCAUCAGAUGAUACUCAUAUCAUGUUCACCAACACGAUCCGCAACAAUGAAACCGAUAUCAUCACCAGAAGCUACAUCAAUAUCACAUUUGGGUGUCGAUACCCCAUAAACUACAUGGUUCAGCA
RNAcentral lists this long non-coding RNA (350 nucleotides) under Sinocyclocheilus anshuiensis. RNAcentral describes it as "lncRNA (ENSSANG00000021425.1)". The record is from RNAcentral. Lineage: Eukaryota; Metazoa; Chordata; Actinopteri; Cypriniformes; Cyprinidae.